This 679-nucleotide ribosomal RNA is filed under the name uncultured bacterium. Its description in RNAcentral is "partial 16S ribosomal RNA". It matches the Rfam family "Bacterial small subunit ribosomal RNA", at positions 288 to 980 of the family's 1533-position model. The record is from RNAcentral.
GCAACGGUUACGCUGGCGCACCGUCCAUUGGAAUAAACCGGCCCAGUUCUCUACGGAGGCAGCAGUUGAGAAUUUGCACAAUUGGGCCAAAGCCUGAUGCAGCGACCGCCCGCGUGAGGGAAUGAACGCCUUCGGGUGAUAACCUCUUCAGCAGGGAAAGAAGCGAAAGUGACGGUACUUGCAGAAGAAGCACCGGCUAACUACGUGCCAGCAGCGCGGUAAUACGUAGGGUGCGAGCGUGUCUGAAUUAUUGGGCGUAAAGAGCUGUAGGCGGUUUGUCGCGUCUGCAGUGAAAAUCCGGGGCUCAACCCCGGGACUUGCUGUGGGUACGGGCAGACUAGAGUAUGGUAGGGGAGACCGGAAUUCCUGGUGUAGCGGUGGAAUGCGCAGAUAUCAGGAGGAACACCGAUGGCGAAGGCAGGUCUCUGGGCCAUAACUGACGCUGAGAAGCGAAAGCAUGGGGAGCGAACAGGAUUAGAUACCCUGGUAGUCCAUGCCGUAAACGUUGGGCGCUAGGUGUGGGACUCAUUCCACGAGUUCCGUGCCGCAGCUAACGCAUUAAGCGCCCCGCCUGGGGAGUACGGCCGCAAGGUUAAAACUCAAAGGAAUUGACGGGGACCCGCACAAGCGGUGGAUGAUGUGGUUUAAUUCGAUGCAACGCGAAAAACCUUGCCCACCU